Molecule: ribosomal RNA, 491 nt
Filed under: uncultured bacterium
Lineage: Bacteria
Description: partial 16S ribosomal RNA
Rfam family: Bacterial small subunit ribosomal RNA
Source: RNAcentral
AGUGAACGCUGGCGGUAGGCCUAACACAUGCAAGUCGAACGGCAGCACAGUAAGAGCUUGCUCUUACGGGUGGCGAGUGGCGGACGGGUGAGGAAUACAUCGGAAUCUACUUUUUCGUGGGGGAUAACGUAGGGAAACUUACGCUAAUACCGCAUACGACCUACGGGUGAAAGCAGGGGAUCUUCGGACCUUGCGCGAUUAAAUGAGCCGAUGUCGGAUUAGCUAGUUGGCGGGGUAAAGGCCCACCAAGGCGACGAUCCGUAGCUGGUCUGAGAGGAUGAUCAGCCACACGGGAACUGAGACACGGUCCAGACUCCUACGGGAGGCAGCAGUGGGGAAUAUUGGACAAUGGGCGCAAGCCUGAUCCAGCCAUACCGCGUGGGUGAAGAAGGCCUUCGGGUUGUAAAGCCCUUUUGUUGGGAAAGAAAAGCAGCAGGUUAAUACCCCGCUGUUCUGACGGUACCCAAAGAAUAAGCACCGGCUAACUUCUU